Molecule: ribosomal RNA, 1470 nt
Filed under: metagenome
Description: bacterial SSU rRNA
Rfam family: Bacterial small subunit ribosomal RNA
Source: RNAcentral
AGAGUUUGAUCCUGGCUCAGGACGAACGCUGGCGGCACGCUUAACACAUGCAAGUCGAACGAGAGAAGAGGAGCUUGCUUUUCUGAUCUAGUGGCGGACGGGUGAGUAACACGUGAGCAAUCUGCCUUUCAGAGGGGGAUACCGAUUGGAACCGAUCGUUAAUACCGCAUAACAUAAUUGAACCGCAUGAUUUGAUUAUCAAAGAUUUAUCGCUGAAAGAUGAGCUCGCGUCUGAUUAGCUAGUUGGUAAGGUAACGGCUUACCAAGGCGACGAUCAGUAGCCGGACUGAGAGGUUGAUCGGCCACAUUGGGACUGAGACACGGCCCAGACUCCUACGGGAGGCAGCAGUGGGGAAUAUUGCACAAUGGAGGAAACUCUGAUGCAGCGAUGCCGCGUGAGGGAAGAAGGUUUUAGGAUUGUAAACCUCUGUCUUCAGGGACGAAAAAAGACGGUACCUGAGGAGGAAGCUCCGGCUAACUACGUGCCAGCAGCCGCGGUAAUACGUAGGGAGCGAGCGUUGUCCGGAAUUACUGGGUGUAAAGGGAGCGUAGGCGGGAUCGCAAGUCAGAUGUGAAAACUAUGGGCUUAACCCAUAAACUGCAUUUGAAACUGUGGUUCUUGAGUGAAGUAGAGGUAAGCGGAAUUCCUAGUGUAGCGGUGAAAUGCGUAGAUAUUAGGAGGAACAUCAGUGGCGAAGGCGGCUUACUGGGCUUUAACUGACGCUGAGGCUCGAAAGCGUGGGGAGCAAACAGGAUUAGAUACCCUGGUAGUCCACGCCGUAAACGAUGAUUACUAGGUGUGGGGGGACUGACCCCUUCCGUGCCGCAGCAAACGCAAUAAGUAAUCCACCUGGGGAGUACGACCGCAAGGUUGAAACUCAAAGGAAUUGACGGGGGCCCGCACAAGCAGUGGAGUAUGUGGAUUAAUUCGAAGCAACGCGAAGAACCUUACCAGGUCUUGACAUCGUAUGCAUAGCUCAGAGAUGAGUGAAAUCUCUUCGGAGACAUAUAGACAGGUGGUGCAUGGUUGUCGUCAGCUCGUGUCGUGAGAUGUUGGGUUAAGUCCCGCAACGAGCGCAACCCUUACUGUUAGUUGCUACGCAAGAGCACUCUAGCAGGACUGCCGUUGACAAAACGGAGGAAGGUGGGGAUGACGUCAAAUCAUCAUGCCCCUUAUGACCUGGGCCUCACACGUACUACAAUGGCUGUCAACAGAGGGAAGCAAAGCCGCGAGGUGGAGCGAACCCCUAAAAGCAGUCUUAGUUCGGAUUGUAGGCUGCAACCCGCCUACAUGAAGUCGGAAUUGCUAGUAAUCGCAGAUCAGCAUGCUGCGGUGAAUACGUUCCCGGGCCUUGUACACACCGCCCGUCACGCCAUGGGAGUCGGUAACACCCGAAGCCUGUAGUCUAACCGCAAGGAGGACGCAGUCGAAGGUGGGAUUGAUGACUGGGGUGAAGUCGUAACAAGGUA